CGGGACCAGAUCACCGGGAGGUGAUACCGCCGUGACAAGGCGGAUGUGGAGGGUUCGAGUCCCUCGGUCCCGACCA
RNAcentral lists this transfer RNA (76 nucleotides) under Kofleriaceae bacterium. RNAcentral's name for it is "tRNA-Val". Lineage: Bacteria; Pseudomonadati; Myxococcota; Haliangiales; Kofleriaceae. The record is from RNAcentral.